UUAGUGGCGGACGGGUGAGUAACGCGUGGAUAACCUGCCGUAUACAGGGGGAUAACACUUAGAAAUAGGUGCUAAUACCGCAUAAGCGCACGGUUCCGCAUGGAACAGUGUGAAAAACUCCGGUGGUAUACGAUGGAUCCGCGUCUGAUUAGCCAGUUGGCGGGGUAACGGCCCACCAAAGCGACGAUCAGUAGCCGGCCUGAGAGGGCGACCGGCCACAUUGGGACUGAGACACGGCCCAAACUCCUACGGGAGGCAGCAG
This 262-nucleotide ribosomal RNA is filed under the name uncultured bacterium. RNAcentral describes it as "partial 16S ribosomal RNA". It matches the Rfam family "Bacterial small subunit ribosomal RNA", at positions 92 to 354 of the family's 1533-position model. The record is from RNAcentral.